UUAUGAGAAAGGUUAGGUUAGGACUCAAUUUAUCCCUUCCAGACCCAUAUCCAAUGGGGACUAAACUAGUCAUACACACAAUCAUCAGGUGAUACGGUGAUCAUUGCUCAUAAAUGAGCAUCUAGCACUGGAUUUGAUUUUGCCAUGGCCAUAAUUUUGUCAAACUGUUACAUAUGAUGUCCACUGUUGUUUUGAAGGUGUGAGUAAGCCCUGCUUUGGCAGCAAUCAGUGGUUCAACAAGUAUAAUUGAAAUAUAAACCACUGAUUUUGAGUUCUUUGUUGCUGGUAAAUACUAAAUAGUAAAUAUAGUCACUCUUUAAUAGUUUGUGUUUUUGCAUGUGCAUGUGUUUGCUAGCAUUUAAAUUAGAGUUUUUCCCAUUUGUUUUGCAGAAUAAAACAUAGUACAUAAUUUUCUUUUAUUGAGCAAUAUAUAUAUUUGAUUUUGAUAUAUUUUGCCUUGAUAAUUUUAGGUCACCAACAAUUAUUUCCAUUCCAAAGUCAUCUGACAGUGUCUCCUCUAGUUCAUCACGGAGCAAGACUCGGGGGAGGUUAACUCGCAAAGAUUUGCGGUUGCACAAGUUGGUAUUUCAGGAUGAUGCACUACCUGAUGGAACUGAACUAGCUUAUUUUGUUCAUGGGCAGAAAUGCACAGAAGAUUAUAAGAAGGGUUUUGGAAUAUUUUGCUUUUGCUGCCAAAGUCAGGUCAGCCCUUCUCAGUUUGAAGCACAUGCGGGUUGGGCUUCUCGUCGCAAGCCUAGUUCAGCACUGAAGUUUUACGCAUGCAACAAGAAAUUGCAAGGCUCAGGGAGAACACUGCACAUUUUCAGGCUACGGUUGAGACGAAACUCGAGACACUUCGCUGUGAACUUUUAAAGUAAGGGCCUGGAUUGGGUUUCAAGUGGUGGUCAGAGUCAUGGAAGUACCUAGUUUAUAUUUGGUUCUAUCAAAACAUGUUACAGGUUUCUGUUUGCUUUGUGUUUUAGAAACUGUGUUUGAAUUCUAAUCUCUAUUUGGUUGUGUAUGAGUCUGUUUAAUGGUGUUCCCACAUAUGUAUGUUGAGUGUAGUGUUGUAAGAUGAUUAGGAUAUAUACUGUAUGUUUGAUUGGUCAAAUAUAUAAAUUUACAACU
Molecule: non-coding RNA, 1128 nt
Organism: Camellia sinensis
Lineage: Eukaryota; Viridiplantae; Streptophyta; Magnoliopsida; Ericales; Theaceae
Source: RefSeq, a predicted model, not a curated record